RNAcentral lists this ribosomal RNA (253 nucleotides) under uncultured bacterium. RNAcentral describes it as "partial 16S ribosomal RNA". It matches the Rfam family "Bacterial small subunit ribosomal RNA", at positions 524 to 776 of the family's 1533-position model. The record is from RNAcentral.
UACGUAGGGGGCGAGCGUUGUCCGGAAUUAUUGGGCGUAAAGAGCUCGUAGGCGGUUUGUCGCGUCUGCCGUGAAAGUCCGGGGCUCAACUCCGGAUCUGCGGUGGGUACGGGCAGACUAGAGUGAUGUAGGGGAGACUGGAAUUCCUGGUGUAGCGGUGAAAUGCGCAGAUAUCAGGAGGAACACCGAUGGCGAAGGCAGGUCUCUGGGCAUUAACUGACACUCAGGCACGAAAGCGUGGGGAGCAAAAGGG